Non-coding RNA from Nicotiana tabacum (common tobacco), 3470 nucleotides. Lineage: Eukaryota; Viridiplantae; Streptophyta; Magnoliopsida; Solanales; Solanaceae. The record is from RefSeq and is a predicted model, not a curated record.
AUCUGAACCGUCCGAUCCUUCCAAAUUCUCAAUAAAUUACGACCUCCUCCUGUCGUUUAAACAUACCUUUUCCUUCUAUGCCCAACUCUGUAUUCUCCAGAUCUCUUCUGCGUAAUUUAGCUUCUUCAAAUUUCAUGUUCAGAUCUGUGUAGAUCGUCCUCCGAUCUGCCUUUUGAAUGUGGAUUUACUGUACUUCCAUAAAAGCUUGGCGAUUGGCCAACCGAGCGGUGGAAUCGUUCGAUUUCCGUCAACGUGUGGCCGCCGGUUGACCUUAGCUGUAGAUCUGAUGCUUUUCGCAAUGGUUCGAUGGAGCUGAGCAUCAGAUCUGUUUGGUCUUCAGAGAUUUGUUGAGGUUGGAUUAGUAGUUUGAGCAACCGAGGUGUUAUUUUACCGAGGCUUCCAACGUUGUUUUCUAGAGCUUUAUCGAUAUGAAUAGAGAUGCAAGGACUAUUGAAUCGGUGCUGCCGUUGUUUUGCAUCAAACGGUUUAGACUGGUAAUCUUCGAUCGAGGGUUGAAUCAGCUAGCGUGAUGGUGUAUUUAAGGUUAUAAUAGUUUAAUUUAUUGUCUACAAUUAUUUAAAUGGCUCAUUUGCAUUAGUUUUUAUUUAUUUAUUUAUGCAUAUGUACGCGAGGAUGAAAGAUUGAGCGACGUUGUGAGUUAUGAGAGGAAAAAUUGAGGUAUUUAUUGUCAUGUUAUCAGGCCUUUGCCAUGUUGGGUGCGCUCGCAUGGCAGGUCAAAAGUACAUUAUAAAAGUAUUCAUUUUGGGUGUUGGAGAGGAGAAGGCACGGGGUUUUGCCCGGCUCUGCUCUCUUUGCGUGUCUCGUGUCCUUUUUGGCUCUGCUCUUUCUUUUUUCCUGCGUCCAACAACUUUGCGUCGAUCAGUGGUUACUUGUCGUUGAAUAGGCCUUGUGAUUACUGUUGUGUAUUUUGAGGCGAGUCUUAUUCAAAGACAAGUAACUCAUGUUGAUUUGCUAUAUGCUCCACGGCGAUGGAUACAAGCAACGUUUCUACUGCAGCACGCCACUAGAGGUACAAUAUCAAUUCUCUUAGUUAAAGUUAACUAACAUUUUUUAUAACAUUUAUCAAUUCUAAACUGAUUGCCUUAAUUAUCACCUUCACUAACUUAUACUCGUAUAAAAGCUUCUAAACAGCACUUCUGGAAAUAUUAUACAAAGGCUGAAAUGCUCACAGCUUGGAAGUAACUUAUGUUAAGCACACCUGCACCUCUAUGGAAGUAACUUUAAGAAUAUAAUUUGGCCGCUGUUAAUUGGCUUGCGAACUUGCCAAUUUUUUAUACAGAGCACCUCAUAAUGUUCCCAUUAAUUGUUUUUAUAAAUUUUUCGCUCGUAAAUAAGACCUUAAUGCAUGAUGUCACAUAAAAAAUGGUGGUUACACCUUUAUUGGUUAUGGUAAGCUUAUGUUUUAUUUAAUAAAAUCUGAAAUUUGAACCAUCAUCUGAUAGUUGUGAUUGGGCAAGGAGCAUAACGUUAGAACUGGUAUUGCAAAGUUGUAUCUGAACUGUGUAUUAUUCUCAUUAAGGUUAGAUUUCAGUGUUUACUCUUUUAAGUUUCCACAGAUAUUUAAGAGGCUAUAAUCAGUAGUGAUAUUGGAAUAUAAAUUGGUUUAUGUAGCGAUAUGGUUGAUAAAAUAGCUGAAAUUAAGUAGCUAUCUUCUUACAAAAUGUUGCGGAAAAUCAUUGUGUUGGCAUCACAAAAUCUCGCUGACACUUGAAUGUUCCAUUUUCAUUAAUUCUGCAGAUGCAACUUAAUUCGGGUUUAUUCUUUUUAUAAAUGCGUACUCUUGGUUUACUUAGUCAAUAGUAGUGAGUUAUUGUUUCUUAGUCUAGUCGGAGCUUAGCUGUGUUCUCCUGAUCUAUGAUGUAAUAGUUUCAUUCCGAUGGAAGUUCUUUGUUAUGGUACCCCUAUUGUAGUGUUUUGGGAGGGGUACCUUGUGUAGCCAGGUUUGGAACUUUGACCUUAAAAACAAUUCAGUGUAUUCCGGUUAGAUUUGAUGCAUAUCAAAUGAUGGUGGGUGGCUGUGGCUUCCAAUAAGCUGGAGGCACAUUGGUGCUGGCGGCUGAAGUUGAAAUUUUUCGUGCUGCGCUUGAUGUAUAUGCUGCUUCUAGUUAAUAUGAAGCUUAGUUUUCUCCGUGUCCAUCAAGAAAUGGAGCUGCUGCUGCUGUUGAAGAUUUGAUAGCCUUGUGUUUGAUGUGCUUUCUGCAUGAGGUAAUUUCUCCGGGAUGCCACUUUGGUGAGGAAUUUGUGAAACUCUAAGCUUGUUGCUGUUACUGGUUUGAAUCUGUGGUUUUCAUUAUGUUUUGAAGCUGUGGUUCUGUGUGGUCAGCAAGUUAACAUCGCUUGGUUUUACAAGCCUUCAUCCAAGAUGAAGUGUUGACUGAAGAUGUUAGAGCUUGUUGCUGUUGCUGGUUUGGAUCUAUGGUUUUCAUUAUGUUUUGAAGCUGUGCUUUUGUGUAAUCAGCAAAAGUAUCAACCCCUGUUGGUUUUGCAAGCAGGUUCAUCAGAAAUGAAGUGCGUGACAGAAGAUGUCGGUCUGUAUAUCCAAAGGAAUUUAAAGAAAGCGUAUUUUCUGUGCCUUUACUAUUUUCUGAUUGGAAAAGUGAAGCUAGCUCCUUAGAAGAGUUGAUAUGGUAUUUCUUUUUAGAAGUAUUUUCUCAGGAAAACGUUGUAGCAAGCGACUGAUAUCUAGUCUCGAACUGUGUUGUUCAUGUGCUUUCUGGCAUUCUGAGGCAGUCUGCUGUUGCGAAUCUGCCGGUUCGGCAGUGUCUAAUUAGAAGAUUGUCUCUCUAUUAUAGAGAUACAGUUUGGAGAGAGCGUCAAUUUCACUGAUAAUUUGGUUUCAGAUGGGCUUUGUAUUUAUUAGUAGAAGAGAACUUGCAUGCAGGAUACAGUGUUGCAAUAUUUCUUGACGGAGUAUGGUUGGGUUUUGUGCUAGUCUUGGCAGUACAUGUUCAUCUUUUUAACAAGUUAUUAAACUCGAGAAUGUUCUAGAUUAUUAUUAUUGUUGUUUCAGUCUGCAAACAGUCAUUGUUGGGGUACUAAAUAAGAGAGCUUCCUGGAAUUACAAUGGAUCAAUUGAUGGGACCCUAAAAUGAGUGGCUAUGUUAAUGUUAAUGCAUUGCUUCUAAUUCUCAUCUCCGACAGAUUAGUGAUAAACACUGUUCCUAUUUUUUACCACUAAACAUGGUUGCUAUUUCCGUAUGGGUGAUAAACACCCCUAAAGAGGGUUGAUACUUCCAUCAAAUUUUCUUGAUCACAGGAACAUCUUUGAGGCUCAAAAGUAUAAAAUAUUCAGUUGGAAGUACAAGAGAUGGAAUUAAUAAUAUUUUUAAAUGUCUAGUAAUGUAAUCUUCAUACUGUGGCACUAAUUUUAAUCUUCAUAUUUCUCGAUUGAGUUGUUAUUAGGUAUUGCUCUCUGAGCUAGUAUUCUAACAGCUCACUUUUUAAUUCUC